This 253-nucleotide ribosomal RNA is filed under the name uncultured bacterium. RNAcentral's name for it is "partial 16S ribosomal RNA". It matches the Rfam family "Bacterial small subunit ribosomal RNA", at positions 524 to 776 of the family's 1533-position model. The record is from RNAcentral.
UACGUAGGGUCCGAGCGUUGUCCGGAAUUACUGAGCGUAAAGAGCUCGUAGGUGGUUUGUCGCGUUGUUCGUGAAAACUCACAGCUCAACUGUGGGCGUGCGGGCGAUACGGGCAGACUAGAGUACUGCAGGGGAGACUGGAAUUCCUGGUGUAGCGGUGGAAUGCGCAGAUAUCAGGAGGAACACCGGUGGCGAAGGCGGGUCUCUGGGCAGUAACUGACGCUGAGGAGCGAAAGCGUGGGGAGCGAACAGG